AGGUUUAGGUAAGACACGAGGAAGAACUUUUUCUCUCAGAGUUGUCUGCCCAGGAAGGUGGUGGAGUCGCCAUCCCUAGAAAAGUUCAAGAGGCGUCUGGACGAGGAGCUGAAAGAUCUGGUUUAGUUUGUGGAAGCAGUGGUGAUGAAAAUACGGUUGGACUGGAUGAUCUUACAGGUCGUUUCCAAUCUUGUGAUUCUAUGAUUCUAUGAUCAGAGGCACCACGCAGUCCCUCUCUGGGGACUAAAAAAUGGGUUUUUUAACUCAUUAUCUUUCUGCACUGUUUGAAGCAGUUGGUCUUCAUUGAGAUCCCACUGAUGAUGAGCACCUUAAGCCUUUUCUCAAGGUAAUGACUGAUUCUGUCUGUGGGGGCAACGGGACAAUGGCACGUGGCGGUGCUGCAGAACUCUGAGCAACUCCAGCUCAUGUCCAUCAGGGAGAAGAGCCAGUGCCUGCAGGAGAGGUUUCUCACCUCCCUAUCGCUCCUGCAAGAUGAGGCAGCAGCCUCACCCCCUCCCAUGUUUCUGCCCUGGAUUUCCACCCAUGCCAGCACGGCACCGUGUCCCGACCCCAUGCAGAGGUCCAUCUCCUGCGGUCAAAACAGCAAUGAGUCGGUACUGACGGCACAGGAGCAGACUUUGCUCGCCUAGAAAAUGAAGAAACCAGUGGAUUUGCGUUCGUUGCAUUUUACCUUCCCUUCCGUCAGGGCCAGAAGUACUUUGCUCUCUCCCACCUGGGUGCCUCGAGGGAACAGACACAAAGGUAUUUUGAUGCGGGGGACUCAGACAGAAGGAAGCGGGCGGCGCCGUCGGGAGUGAGCUCCCAUCAAAGAGACACGUUUAAUUUUAAUCCCAAAUAAAAGCCUUGAUCUCGC
Meleagris gallopavo (turkey) is the source of this 874-nucleotide long non-coding RNA. RefSeq lists it as uncharacterized. The record is from RefSeq and is a predicted model, not a curated record. NCBI's taxonomy places the organism in Eukaryota, Metazoa, Chordata, Aves, Galliformes, Phasianidae.